Molecule: ribosomal RNA, 1143 nt
Filed under: Triticum aestivum (bread wheat)
Lineage: Eukaryota; Viridiplantae; Streptophyta; Magnoliopsida; Poales; Poaceae
Description: partial small subunit ribosomal RNA
Source: RNAcentral
AUGCUUUUUGCUGGUUGGUUCCAUUAUCAGAAAGCCGCUCCCAAAUUGGUCUGGUUCCAAGAUGUAGAAUCCAUGUUGAAUCACCACUUAGCGAGAUUAUUAGGACUUGGGUCUCUUUCUUGGGCGGGGCACCAAAUUCAUGUAUCUUUACCAAUUAACCAAUUUCUUGACGCUGGAGUGGAUCCUAAAGAGAUACCACUUCCUCAUGAAUUUAACUUGAAUCGGGACCUUUUGGCUCAACUUUAUCCAAGUUUUGCCGAAGGAGCAACCCCUUUUUUCACUUUAAAUUGGUCCAAAUACGCAGAAUUUCCGACUUUCCGUGGAGGACUAGAUCCAGUAACCGGUGGUCUCUGGCUGACCGAUAUUGCGCACCAUCAUUUAGCUAUUGCUAUUCUUUUCCUAAUUGCAGGUCAUAUGUAUAGGACCAAUUGGGGUAUUGGCCAUGGACUUAAAGAUAUUUUGGAGGCUCACAAGGGCCCAUUUAUAGGACAAGGCCAUAAGGGUCUUUAUGAAAUCUUAACAACGUCAUGGCAUGCUCAAUUAUCUCUUAACCUAGCUAUGCUAGGCUCUACAACCAUUGUUGUAGCUCAUCAUAUGUAUUCUAUGCCUCCCUAUCCAUACCUAGCUACUGACUAUGGUACACAACUUUCCUUGUUCACACACCACAUGUGGAUUGGCGGAUUUCUAAUAGUCGGUGCUGCUGCACAUGCAGCAAUUUUUAUGGUAAGAGACUAUGAUCCAACUACUCGAUACAACGAUCUAUUAGAUCGCGUCCUUAGACACCGCGAUGCAAUCAUAUCCCACCUUAACUGGGUAUGUAUAUUUCUAGGUUUUCACAGUUUUGGCUUGUACAUUCAUAAUGAUACCAUGAGUGCUUUAGGCCGUCCACAAGAUAUGUUUUCGGAUACUGCCAUACAAUUACAACCUAUCUUUGCUCAAUGGGUACAAAAUAUCCAUAAUACUGCGCCUGGCGUAACAGCUCCUGGUGCAACAACAAGUACUAGCUUAACGUGGGGAGGCGGCGAGUUAGUAGCAGUAGGUGGCAAAGUGGCUUUGUUACCUAUUCCAUUAGGAACCGCAGAUUUUUUUAGUCCAUCACAUUCAUGCAUUUACCAUACAUGUGACUGUAUUAAUACUUUUUAA